This 823-nucleotide long non-coding RNA is filed under the name Gouania willdenowi (blunt-snouted clingfish). RNAcentral describes it as "lncRNA (ENSGWIG00000020829.1)". The record is from RNAcentral. Lineage: Eukaryota; Metazoa; Chordata; Actinopteri; Blenniiformes; Gobiesocidae.
AUGAUUGGAGUGUCAGAGGAAGAGAAUAAAUUGAUAGCUGCGACGAAAAAAGAAAAAUACAAAGCGGAAUUGUUGAAGCAAAUCAAUGAUAAUAAGAGAAACAAAGUCAGAGAGAAAACACUUGAGGGGACGGUUGGUGUCACUGGAGCUACAAAAAAAGAUCUACAUAAAAAGGAAACUCAAAAGAAUCCUUCAAGAAGCUCACAGGAGGACUUCAAAGAACCACUGAUGAAGUGUUCUGGGUUGGAAACUGGUGCACCUAGAGAUGAGGCCUUGUUGGACCAUUCCAGUGAAACGUCCCACAGGAACCUCUCACAGGGGCUGGGAGACAUGGCUGUACCCAGGGUUGCUGGUUUGGAUCCUGUAGUUUGUCCUCUUUGCUACACUCCACUUCAUGCAUCUCAUCCUUUAUAUGGGACUCUAGCAUAUGCUCCUCCUCAUCCUGAUGGGACUCUAGCAUAUGCUCCUCCUCCUCAUCAUUAUGGGACUCUAGCAUAUGCUCCUCCUCAUCAUUAUGGGACUCCAGCAUAUGCUCCUCCUCCUCAUCAUAAUUAUGGGACUCUAGCAUAUGCUCCUCCUCAUCAUAAUUAUGGGACUCCAGCAUAUGCUCCUCCUCCUCAUCAUUAUAAUGUGACUCCAGCAUAUGCUCCUCCUCCUCAUCAUUAUAAUGGGACUCAAGUUCAUCCACUUGAUCCUCCUGACGGGGCCAGUUAUCCAUUGGAGCCAACUCUUCCUGACAAUCAAGGUAAAUAAAGUAUUACAACUAUCAUCAUGAAAACACAGAUAAAACUUUAAAAUGAGAUUUUAAGAAUAUUUUUAAAUG